RNAcentral lists this long non-coding RNA (219 nucleotides) under Elaeis guineensis (African oil palm). RNAcentral describes it as "long non-coding RNA (EGUI_LNC073416)". The record is from RNAcentral. Lineage: Eukaryota; Viridiplantae; Streptophyta; Magnoliopsida; Arecales; Arecaceae.
UUGGCUGGCUUCUUGGUUUUCCCAUAGCAUCUCUGACGACUGUGAUAGCUCUCGGAGGAGAAACGCCGAGAAGAGAAGGCUAAGAGAAGAGGAAGAAGAAGCAGAAUACUGAAGAAGAGACGAUGGACGGAGAGGUGGAUGGAAUGAGGUUUUUUCCAACGGAUGUGGAAGUCAUCCGCUACCUCCGGAAGCGCGCGGAGGGCUCUCGACUCCCACCUA